RNAcentral lists this ribosomal RNA (1026 nucleotides) under Triticum aestivum (bread wheat). Its description in RNAcentral is "partial small subunit ribosomal RNA". The record is from RNAcentral. Lineage: Eukaryota; Viridiplantae; Streptophyta; Magnoliopsida; Poales; Poaceae.
AUGGCCAUCCCCAAUGCUUUGCUUCUUGCCAUCCUAGGUUGCAUCUGCUUAUGCAGCAGCACUGUUCUGUCAGCUCGCAAGCUCGGCGAUGCGGCCAUGGUGGAGAGGCAUGAGCAAUGGAUGGUGAAGUACAACCGUGCUUACAAGGACGACACAGAGAAGGCGCAGAGGUUCGAGGUUUUCAAGGCCAACAUUGCCUUCAUCGAGUCAUUCAACGCCGGAAACCACAAGUUUUGGCUCGGUGUUAACCACUUUACGGACCUCACUAAUGACGAGUUUAGGGCAAGCAAGACCAACAAGGGCCUCAAGAGGAGCACUAGCAGGGCUCCAACCGGGUUCAGGUACAACAAUGUCAGCACCGAUGCACUUCCAGCCGCUGUUGAUUGGAGAACCAAGGGUGCCGUCACUCCUAUCAAAGACCAAGGCCAAUGUGGCUGUUGUUGGGCUUUUUCGGCCGUGGCUGCAACCGAGGGCAUUGUGAAAUUGAGCACAGGGAAGCUUGUCUCCUUGUCUGAGCAAGAGCUAGUUGACUGUGAUGUCCAUAGUGUGGAUCAGGGGUGUGAGGGUGGCGAGAUGGACGACGCCUUCAAGUUCAUCAUCAAGAACGGCGGCCUCACCACUGAGGCCAACUACCCAUACACCGCACAAGACGGACAGUGCAAAACUAGCACUACAAGCAACAGUGUUGCAACCAUCAAGGGCUACGAGGAUGUGCCUGCCAACGAUGAAUCUUCUCUUAUGAAAGCCGUGGCCAACCAGCCUGUAUCAGUAGCUGUGGACGGAGGAGAUGCCAUAUUUCAACACUACUCUGGCGGGGUGAUGACCGGCUCCUGUGGAACGGAUUUGGACCAUGGGAUAGUAGCGAUUGGAUAUGGCAUGACGAGUGACGGAACUAAAUUUUGGCUGUUGAAGAACUCAUGGGGCACGACAUGGGGUGAGAGCGGGUACCUUAGAAUGGAGAAGGAUAUUUCCGAUAAGGGUGGUAUGUGUGGCUUGGCCAUGCAACCUUCCUACCCCACCGAGUAG